UUUUGGUUCUUUAUUCUUGGAACAUGAUAUUCAGGAUCUUGAGGAUUUGGGGAUGGUUUUAGAUCAUUUGAUUGAGCUGUAACUGUUGUAUAUUGAGCGGUACCCCCUUAAUACCUUUGAAAUGAUAUUUUUUUUUUUAUUUCAAAAAAAAAAAAAACAGGUUGUGUUUUUGGAAGUAUAAAACCUUAAUUUAUCUGGGUCAUAAUUUCAACUUACAUUACAUAAACAAGCUUGCAUGUAAAGAUAGAAAAUCAUGAUUUUUCUGAUUCAUUUUUUUUUUAGAUAAAAAGUGUGAAGUAUGAUUUUUUCUGAUUCAUAAUUUGAAGUUAUGUUACAAAAGCAUGAGAUAUAAUAUUCCCUUUGACUAUUAGUUACGGUCAAUAAUUUUUUUUAUCAUCAAUAAAAAUUGACAAAGAAAUUUUCCGAAUUACCCUUUCUGCUCCAAUCUUUUUUAUCAUUGCUAUCCUUCUACUACCCAUCCUCUCUACUGUCCGCACAUGGCCUGCACGGAGAGGAUGUUGGCCGUGACCUAUGCUGCUUCUUCCGCAAUCCCAACGAAUAUUUGAAUAUCUUGAGCUGAUUGUGGUUAUUGAUUUCUAGAGAAUAUCCUGAACCAGCUUGGGCUAAUUUUCAGUACUAGCUGACAUUAAUAAGAAGUCCACUUUAGAUAUGCACCCAAAAAUAAAUUUAUGUGAAAUAUCAAUUAGGGCAUCAAAAAAUAGGGAAGAACUUUAAUAAAGAACUAUCUUUCUUGGCACCAAUUAGUUAGAAUGCAAACAGUCAUCUAAAAAUCUUUGUCAAUCCAAACAACAAUGGACUUGGGACAACUUUUCUACUCAACAAUAUGCUUAGGAAAUUGACUUUGGAGAUGGUAAUAACCUAUAUGGCUGUUGUCUUAAAAAAAAAAUAUCCUAUAUGGCUGUAACCUCACUUGUGAGUGAUGGUAUACACUUGGACUUAUCAAACUUUCGCAAAUAUGAGAAAACAGAUCAAGAGGUAGCAAGAAUCCUCAAUAAGGUUAUAAAUCUAAACUUCAAAAACAUCUAAAAGAAAAACUCAUAUUAUUAGGUACAUCGAGAAGAUAUAUAAUGUCUUAUAUUUUUUAAGGAUUGGGAAUGGCGAGGAGGAGGGAAUGCAACAAGUUCAGUAAGAUUUUUACCAUCAGAAAGUCACCAACUUGAAAAGACUUAUCAAUAGAAGAAUGAAAAGCUGGCCCUUGGGUGUAGUUAAACAUGUGAGAGGUUUAUGAGGGAAUGAUAGGGAUAGUGUCAAAAGUUGUAGCAGGUUGGGCCCUAAUAAACUUGAGAUCACUAAGAAAACAGCUUGGUGAUAAGACAACUGACAAUAUGUUCAUUAUCUGAGUAAACAUCAUCACCUGAGUAGGACUAACAAUUUGUGUAAUAACACUAGGACAAGGAACGACUAGAUUACAUGCCUGAGAGUAUGAGAAGCCUUGCUCAUGGCUCUGAUAUGAAAGAAAAUAAAGAGAAAGAAGGGGGAGAGUCGGUUGAGAGAGAGAGAGAUAAGAUUCACUUAAGAUAAAUUCAUUUUUGAUGCUUUAUUAACAGAAAUCAUGACUAUAUAGGAUACAAUGGCGGAGGGUUGGAGGUUGCAACGGCUUGAACAGCAGGAGGUCAAGGGUCCCAAUAUU
Molecule: long non-coding RNA, 1651 nt
Filed under: Carica papaya (papaya)
Lineage: Eukaryota; Viridiplantae; Streptophyta; Magnoliopsida; Brassicales; Caricaceae
Description: long non-coding RNA (CPAP_LNC014264)
Source: RNAcentral